RNAcentral lists this ribosomal RNA (358 nucleotides) under Biosteres juglandis. RNAcentral describes it as "partial 16S ribosomal RNA". Lineage: Eukaryota; Metazoa; Arthropoda; Insecta; Hymenoptera; Braconidae. The record is from RNAcentral.
UAAUAAGAUCUUUAAAAAAAAAUUAUGCUGUUAUCCCUAAGGUAAUUAAUUUUAUUAAUUUAAAUUUUAAGUAUUAUUUUCAUUAAUUGAUGUUUUUUUGUAAAAAAAUUUUUUUAAUUUUUUUAUUACCCCAAUAAAAUUAUUUAAUAGAUUUUUAAUUUUAAAUUAAAUUUAUUAAAAAAUAAAAUUCUAUAGGGUCUUGUCGUCUUUUUUAUUAAUUUAAGUUUUUUUACUUAAAAAAAAAAUUAAAUUUAAUUUAAAUUUAUAAAGUUUAUACUUCAUUUAAUCAUUCAUUCAAGUUUUUAAUUAAAAAACAAGUUAUUAUGCUACCUUUGUACAGUUAUUGAUUCUGCAGCAU